RNAcentral lists this transfer-messenger RNA (343 nucleotides) under Dehalococcoidia. RNAcentral describes it as "GCA-002694895 sp002711005 Standard tmRNA". It matches the Rfam family "transfer-messenger RNA". Rfam says of the family: Bacterial tmRNA, also known as 10Sa RNA or SsrA, is named for its dual tRNA and mRNA-like properties. Its role is to liberate the mRNA from a stalled ribosome. The record is from RNAcentral. Lineage: Bacteria; Bacillati; Chloroflexota. RNAcentral also lists the same sequence under 1 other name.
GGGGACGCGUGGUUUCGACAGGGAAUUUAUGAGGCGGGGUUGCAGGUCGAGGACCAUAAAACUCGUNAAAAAAUGGAAAAAAAUUAACUGACAAUAAACAGUUAGCUUUAGCAGCUUAAUUACUGCUACAUUGUAUUAUUNUUCCCCCGAGAGAAUAAUAUGAUGACGAAAAUCGGGGUAUAACUCUGAAAGACCGAUAGUUCAGAGAAGAAAUUUAAUCGGAAAGCUUGAAUAAACUCUUUCUGAUUGAAGUCUUCAAGCUUAAUAUCAAUCAGAUAAACCUGUAGACACUCUAGCUAAGUGUUUUCUGGACGGGGAGUUCGACUCUCCCCCGUCUCCACCA